Non-coding RNA from Nicotiana sylvestris (wood tobacco), 118 nucleotides. NCBI's taxonomy places the organism in Eukaryota, Viridiplantae, Streptophyta, Magnoliopsida, Solanales, Solanaceae. The record is from Rfam.
AGAUGCGAUCAUACCAGCACUAACGCACCGGAUCCCAUCAGAAUUCUGAAGUCAAGCGUACUUGGGCGAGAGUAGUACUAGGAUGAGUGACGCCUGGGAAGUCCUCUUGUUGCAUCCC